AAAUUGAAGAGUUUGAUCAUGGCUCAGAUUGAACGCUGGCGGCAGGCCUAACACAUGCAAGUCGAGCGGUAACACAGAGAGCUUGCUCUCGGGUGACGAGCGGCGGACGGGUGAGUAAUGUCUGGGAAACUGCCUGAUGGAGGGGGAUAACUACUGGAAACGGUAGCUAAUACCGCAUAAUGUCGCAAGACCAAAGUGGGGGACCUUCGGGCCUCAUGCCAUCAGAUGUGCCCAGAUGGGAUUAGCUAGUAGGUGGGGUAAUGGCUCACCUAGGCGACGAUCCCUAGCUGGUCUGAGAGGAUGACCAGCCACACUGGAACUGAGACACGGUCCAGACUCCUACGGGAGGCAGCAGUGGGGAAUAUUGCUCAAUGGGCGCAAGCCUGAUGCAGCCAUGCCGCGUGUAUGAAGAAGGCCUUCGGGUUGUAAAGUACUUUCAGCGAGGAGGAAGGC
RNAcentral lists this ribosomal RNA (453 nucleotides) under Klebsiella aerogenes. RNAcentral's name for it is "bacterial SSU rRNA". It matches the Rfam family "Bacterial small subunit ribosomal RNA", at positions 1 to 452 of the family's 1533-position model. Lineage: Bacteria; Pseudomonadati; Pseudomonadota; Gammaproteobacteria; Enterobacterales; Enterobacteriaceae. The record is from RNAcentral.